Molecule: ribosomal RNA, 492 nt
Filed under: uncultured bacterium
Lineage: Bacteria
Description: partial 16S ribosomal RNA
Rfam family: Bacterial small subunit ribosomal RNA
Source: RNAcentral
AGUGAACGCUGGCGGCAGGCCUAACACAUGCAAGUCGAGCGGAUGAAGAGAACGUGCUCGUGGAUUCAGGGGGGGAGGGGUGGGUAAUUCAGAAGUAUCUCGCUGUCUGCGGGGGAGUACGGGCGGAAGUAGGGACAAAUACCCCAUUAGCGCUUACGAACUACGGGUGAAAGCAUCGGAUCUCCGGCUAUCGCAUGAGUCUAUGACCCGAUGUCGGAUUAGCUAGUUGGAGGGGUAAAGGCGCACCAAGGCGACGAUCCGUAACUGGUCUGAGAGGAUGAUCAGUCACACUGGAACUGAGACACGGUCCAGACUCCUACGGGAGGCAGCAGUGGGGAAUAUUGGACAAUGGGCGCAAGCCUGAUCCAGCCAUACCGCGUGUGUGAAGAAGGCCUUCGGAUUGUAAAGCCCUUUUAGUUGGGAAGAAAGGCAGUAAGUUAAUACCUCGCUGUUUUGACGUUACCCACAGAAUAAGCACCGGCUAACUUCGUG